RNAcentral lists this ribosomal RNA (407 nucleotides) under Escherichia coli. RNAcentral describes it as "partial 23S ribosomal RNA". It matches the Rfam family "Bacterial large subunit ribosomal RNA", at positions 1920 to 2326 of the family's 2925-position model. Lineage: Bacteria; Pseudomonadati; Pseudomonadota; Gammaproteobacteria; Enterobacterales; Enterobacteriaceae. The record is from RNAcentral.
CCGGUAAACGGCGGCCGUAACUAUAACGGUCCUAAGGUAGCGAAAUUCCUUGUCGGGUAAGUUCCGACCUGCACGAAUGGCGUAAUGAUGGCCAGGCUGUCUCCACCCGAGACUCAGUGAAAUUGAACUCGCUGUGAAGAUGCAGUGUACCCGCGGCAAGACGGAAAGACCCCGUGAACCUUUACUAUAGCUUGACACUGAACAUUGAGCCUUGAUGUGUAGGAUAGGUGGGAGGCUUUGAAGUGUGGACGCCAGUCUGCAUGGAGCCGACCUUGAAAUACCACCCUUUAAUGUUUGAUGUUCUAACGUUGGCCCGUUAUCCGGGUUGCGGACAGUGUCUGGUGGGUAGUUUGACUGGGGCGGUCUCCUCCUAAAGAGUAACGGAGGAGCACGAAGGUUGGCUAAUC